GUAAUCUGCAUAAAGAAUAUACAACCUCUUUGGAAUUCACAAAAAAGAGCAAUAAUAGGAAAGGUAUAGAAAUAUACUGAAACAGAAAAUAUAUUCAGGGAUAUUGAUGAGAACAUUAUAUUCACUAGUGAACCAAAACAACAUUAAUAAAAACUGAAGACAAACAAAACAAACUAGAGAAACCAUACAAGAUAACAACCAAAAGAAAUCACAAAAGCACAAAAUAAAUGCAAAGACACAUGAGGACCAAACCAUCACUCCUCAUCUUCUUAUUCAAACCCCCUACAAUGUGUCUUUCUCAAACGCCUCUGAAUGCUUGAUAACUUCGCAUCUGUCAUCAAGAAGCCUGUUUUAGUGCUCUUUCAUCUCUACCUGCCUGUAGAUCUUAAGUUUGUCAAGCAACAUCAUUUCAAAAGGUGAGAGCGGUUCCUUCAGGUUUCACAAGAAUUUCCUCAAGUUCCCCUAACUCCCCAUCAGGAAGACCAUCCUUAUAGACAAAUUCAUCUCCUUGUUUUAUCAGUCUCAUACGGCAAAAUCCACUUUUAUUAAUCUUGUUGGAAUUUAAUAUAAUUUUGAAAACUUAGUCUAUCAAAUAUACUUUGUUGUGUUCCAAAACCUUGAAGAUCGACACAACAUAAGGAAUAGGGUAAAGAGUCAACUACCUAGUCUUCAUAAUGUGAUCUGACAACUCCUGAAAAGUAAAUCCAAAAUUCUUGAACCAGUUGAUACUAAAAUACUUGUAGGUUAUGAUUUUUCUAUCCUUGUCACUCUUGCUUAAAAUGUAAAUCCUUCCACUCUUGAUUAAAAGGAAGUCUCACAUUAGGGUUUGAUAUCCACCUUUCAACUACUGUUGGGUGCAUUUCAGUGAGAGCCUGGCCCUUGUUGUGGACCACACUUCAUUUCAUCCUCUUGGGUUGAAAUGGCGAUGCCAAAGUAUUGAAAAUAAAACGAACAAGGAAUGGAUGCACAAAAUUUUAGUGAUGGGAAGCAAAGAGAAGGUGAAUUGAAGGGUGGAUCUCAAACCUUGAUGUGAGACAUCAUAUUGAGCAAGGGUGAAAGGAUAGAACAAUCAUAGCCCACAAGUAUUUCAACAUCAGCUAGUUCAAGAACUCCAGAAUUACUUUCAAGGAGUUGUUAGAUAAUCAGAGUCUCAAGAAGUUUGUUGACAUGGAAGACAAGUUCAUCCGAAUUCAGUUCACGCUUUCUACACUAAACAUUAAGUUGAUAAAUGGUGUAAUGCAUUCCAAAGUGAAGGGUGUUUAAAUUGUACUUGAGGGCACAAUUUUGAAGGAUGUAUCUGGUUUCAAGCUUGAUGGAGUCAACAUUACUAUUGGAAGUUGAACAUUUUGACUAGUUUGGUAUCUGUAAGAGUUGUCCUAGAGACCCAAACAUCCAGAAUUUUUCAUUGCUCAAGACAAGCAGAUUAAAGAAGAAUGAGACACUGUUGACAUAUGUCAGUGCAUGGAUUCUUGUCCUAGGAGGAGUAAUCACGUGACUACUAAAGACAUAUUGAUCAUCUAUGCCUUCAAAAUGGCAUACAAAUGGAUUGGCAAGAAUUGUGGUGGAUAACAUCAUGAAGACUGGGCAGUUAGCCCUUUACCCUAUUCCUUAUGUUGUGUUCAUCUCCAAUGCAUUGGAACACAACAAAGUAGAUUUCACAGAUGAAGUCUUUAAAAUUAUUUUUGACUGCAACAAGAUUAAUAAAAG
RNAcentral lists this small RNA (1707 nucleotides) under Vigna angularis var. angularis. RNAcentral's name for it is "Non-protein coding transcript". The record is from RNAcentral. Lineage: Eukaryota; Viridiplantae; Streptophyta; Magnoliopsida; Fabales; Fabaceae.